Molecule: ribosomal RNA, 468 nt
Filed under: uncultured bacterium
Lineage: Bacteria
Description: partial 16S ribosomal RNA
Rfam family: Bacterial small subunit ribosomal RNA
Source: RNAcentral
GACGAACGCUGGCGGCGUGCUUAACACAUGCAAGUCGAACGGAAAGGCCCUGCUGUUGUGGGGUGCUCGAGUGGCGAACGGGUGAGUAACACGUGAGUAACCUGCCCUUGACUUUGGGAUAACUUCAGGAAACUGGGGCUAAUACCGGAUAGGAGCUCCUGCUGCAUGGUGGGGGUUGGAAAGUUUCGGCGGUUGGGGAUGGACUCGCGGCUUAUCAGCUUGUUGGUGGGGUAGUGGCUUACCAAGGCUUUGACGGGUAGCCGGCCUGAGAGGGUGUCCGGCCACAUUGGGACUGAGAUACGGCCCAGACUCCUACGGGAGGCAGCAGUGGGGAAUAUUGCACAAUGGGCGGAAGCCUGAUGCAGCAACGCCGCGUGCGGGAUGACGGCCUUCGGGUUGUAAACCGCUUUCGCCUGUGACGAAGCGUGAGUGACGGUAAUGGGUAAAGAAGCACCGGCUAACUACGUG